This 253-nucleotide ribosomal RNA is filed under the name uncultured bacterium. RNAcentral describes it as "partial 16S ribosomal RNA". It matches the Rfam family "Bacterial small subunit ribosomal RNA", at positions 524 to 776 of the family's 1533-position model. The record is from RNAcentral.
GACAGAGGUUGCAGACGUUGUUCGGAAUCACUGGGCAUAAAGCGCACGUAGGUGGCGCUGUAAGUGGGGUGUGAAAUCCCGGGGCUUAACUCCGGAACUGCAUUCCAUACUGCGGUGCUUGAGGACUGGAGAGGAGACUGGAAUUUACGGUGUAGCAGUGAAAUGCGUAGAGAUCGUAAGGAAGACCAGUGGCGAAGGCGGGUCUCUGGACAGUUCCUGACACUGAGGCACGAAGGCCAGGGGAGCAAACGGG